This 568-nucleotide ribosomal RNA is filed under the name uncultured bacterium. RNAcentral's name for it is "bacterial SSU rRNA". It matches the Rfam family "Bacterial small subunit ribosomal RNA", at positions 119 to 674 of the family's 1533-position model. The record is from RNAcentral.
GGAUAACCUACCUAUAAGACUGGGAUAACUUCGGGAAACCGGAGCUAAUACCGGAUAACAUGUUGAACCGCAUGGUUCAACAGUGAAAGACGGUCUUGCUGUCACUUAUAGAUGGAUCCGCGCCGCAUUAGCUAGUUGGUAAGGUAACGGCUUACCAAGGCAACGAUGCGUAGCCGACCUGAGAGGGUGAUCGGCCACACUGGAACUGAGACACGGUCCAGACUCUUACGGGAGGCAGCAGUAGGGAAUCUUCCGCAAUGGGCGAAAGCCUGACGGAGCAACGCCGCGUGAGUGAUGAAGGUCUUCGGAUCGUAAAACUCUGUUAUUAGGGAAGAACAAAUGUGUAAGUAACUAUGCACGUCUUGACGGUACCUAAUCAGAAAGCCACGGCUAACUACGUGCCAGCAGCCGCGGUAAUACGUAGGUGGCAAGCGUUAUCCGGAAUUAUUGGGCGUAAAGCGCGCGUAGGCGGUUUUUUAAGUCUGAUGUGAAAGCCCACGGCUCAACCGUGGAGGGUCAUUGGAAACUGGAAAACUUGAGUGCAGAAGAGGAAAGUGGAAUUCCAUGU